Molecule: ribosomal RNA, 253 nt
Filed under: uncultured bacterium
Lineage: Bacteria
Description: partial 16S ribosomal RNA
Rfam family: Bacterial small subunit ribosomal RNA
Source: RNAcentral
UACGUAGGGGGCAAGCGUUGUCCGGAAUCAUUGGGCGUAAAGAGCGCGCAGGCGGCCAAGUCAGUCGAAUGUGAAAGCCCCCGGCUCAACUGGGGAGGGUCAUUCGAUACUGCUCGGCUCGAAGACAGGAGAGGGAAGUGGAAUUCCCGGUGUAGUGGUGGAAUGCGUAGAUAUCGGGGGGAACAUCAGUGGCGAAAGCGGCACCCUGGCAUUUGCCUGACGCUCAUGUGCGAAAGCGUGGGGAGCGAACGGG